This 2902-nucleotide ribosomal RNA is filed under the name Escherichia coli. RNAcentral's name for it is "23S ribosomal RNA". It matches the Rfam family "Bacterial large subunit ribosomal RNA". The record is from RNAcentral. Lineage: Bacteria; Pseudomonadati; Pseudomonadota; Gammaproteobacteria; Enterobacterales; Enterobacteriaceae.
UUAAGCGACUAAGCGUACACGGUGGAUGCCCUGGCAGUCAGAGGCGAUGAAGGACGUGCUAAUCUGCGAUAAGCGUCGGUAAGGUGAUAUGAACCGUUAUAACCGGCGAUUUCCGAAUGGGGAAACCCAGUGUGUUUCGACACACUAUCAUUAACUGAAUCCAUAGGUUAAUGAGGCGAACCGGGGGAACUGAAACAUCUAAGUACCCCGAGGAAAAGAAAUCAACCGAGAUUCCCCCAGUAGCGGCGAGCGAACGGGGAGCAGCCCAGAGCCUGAAUCAGUGUGUGUGUUAGUGGAAGCGUCUGGAAAGGCGCGCGAUACAGGGUGACAGCCCCGUACACAAAAAUGCACAUGCUGUGAGCUCGAUGAGUAGGGCGGGACACGUGGUAUCCUGUCUGAAUAUGGGGGGACCAUCCUCCAAGGCUAAAUACUCCUGACUGACCGAUAGUGAACCAGUACCGUGAGGGAAAGGCGAAAAGAACCCCGGCGAGGGGAGUGAAAAAGAACCUGAAACCGUGUACGUACAAGCAGUGGGAGCACGCUUAGGCGUGUGACUGCGUACCUUUUGUAUAAUGGGUCAGCGACUUAUAUUCUGUAGCAAGGUUAACCGAAUAGGGGAGCCGAAGGGAAACCGAGUCUUAACUGGGCGUUAAGUUGCAGGGUAUAGACCCGAAACCCGGUGAUCUAGCCAUGGGCAGGUUGAAGGUUGGGUAACACUAACUGGAGGACCGAACCGACUAAUGUUGAAAAAUUAGCGGAUGACUUGUGGCUGGGGGUGAAAGGCCAAUCAAACCGGGAGAUAGCUGGUUCUCCCCGAAAGCUAUUUAGGUAGCGCCUCGUGAAUUCAUCUCCGGGGGUAGAGCACUGUUUCGGCAAGGGGGUCAUCCCGACUUACCAACCCGAUGCAAACUGCGAAUACCGGAGAAUGUUAUCACGGGAGACACACGGCGGGUGCUAACGUCCGUCGUGAAGAGGGAAACAACCCAGACCGCCAGCUAAGGUCCCAAAGUCAUGGUUAAGUGGGAAACGAUGUGGGAAGGCCCAGACAGCCAGGAUGUUGGCUUAGAAGCAGCCAUCAUUUAAAGAAAGCGUAAUAGCUCACUGGUCGAGUCGGCCUGCGCGGAAGAUGUAACGGGGCUAAACCAUGCACCGAAGCUGCGGCAGCGACGCUUAUGCGUUGUUGGGUAGGGGAGCGUUCUGUAAGCCUGUGAAGGUGUGCUGUGAGGCAUGCUGGAGGUAUCAGAAGUGCGAAUGCUGACAUAAGUAACGAUAAAGCGGGUGAAAAGCCCGCUCGCCGGAAGACCAAGGGUUCCUGUCCAACGUUAAUCGGGGCAGGGUGAGUCGACCCCUAAGGCGAGGCCGAAAGGCGUAGUCGAUGGGAAACAGGUUAAUAUUCCUGUACUUGGUGUUACUGCGAAGGGGGGACGGAGAAGGCUAUGUUGGCCGGGCGACGGUUGUCCCGGUUUAAGCGUGUAGGCUGGUUUUCCAGGCAAAUCCGGAAAAUCAAGGCUGAGGCGUGAUGACGAGGCACUACGGUGCUGAAGCAACAAAUGCCCUGCUUCCAGGAAAAGCCUCUAAGCAUCAGGUAACAUCAAAUCGUACCCCAAACCGACACAGGUGGUCAGGUAGAGAAUACCAAGGCGCUUGAGAGAACUCGGGUGAAGGAACUAGGCAAAAUGGUGCCGUAACUUCGGGAGAAGGCACGCUGAUAUGUAGGUGAAGUCCCUCGCGGAUGGAGCUGAAAUCAGUCGAAGAUACCAGCUGGCUGCAACUGUUUAUUAAAAACACAGCACUGUGCAAACACGAAAGUGGACGUAUACGGUGUGACGCCUGCCCGGUGCCGGAAGGUUAAUUGAUGGGGUUAGCGCAAGCGAAGCUCUUGAUCGAAGCCCCGGUAAACGGCGGCCGUAACUAUAACGGUCCUAAGGUAGCGAAAUUCCUUGUCGGGUAAGUUCCGACCUGCACGAAUGGCGUAAUGAUGGCCAGGCUGUCUCCACCCGAGACUCAGUGAAAUUGAACUCGCUGUGAAGAUGCAGUGUACCCGCGGCAAGACGGAAAGACCCCGUGAACCUUUACUAUAGCUUGACACUGAACAUUGAGCCUUGAUGUGUAGGAUAGGUGGGAGGCUUUGAAGUGUGGACGCCAGUCUGCAUGGAGCCGACCUUGAAAUACCACCCUUUAAUGUUUGAUGUUCUAACGUGGACCCGUAAUCCGGGUUGCGGACAGUGUCUGGUGGGUAGUUUGACUGGGGCGGUCUCCUCCUAAAGAGUAACGGAGGAGCACGAAGGUUGGCUAAUCCUGGUCGGACAUCAGGAGGUUAGUGCAAUGGCAUAAGCCAGCUUGACUGCGAGCGUGACGGCGCGAGCAGGUGCGAAAGCAGGUCAUAGUGAUCCGGUGGUUCUGAAUGGAAGGGCCAUCGCUCAACGGAUAAAAGGUACUCCGGGGAUAACAGGCUGAUACCGCCCAAGAGUUCAUAUCGACGGCGGUGUUUGGCACCUCGAUGUCGGCUCAUCACAUCCUGGGGCUGAAGUAGGUCCCAAGGGUAUGGCUGUUCGCCAUUUAAAGUGGUACGCGAGCUGGGUUUAGAACGUCGUGAGACAGUUCGGUCCCUAUCUGCCGUGGGCGCUGGAGAACUGAGGGGGGCUGCUCCUAGUACGAGAGGACCGGAGUGGACGCAUCACUGGUGUUCGGGUUGUCAUGCCAAUGGCACUGCCCGGUAGCUAAAUGCGGAAGAGAUAAGUGCUGAAAGCAUCUAAGCACGAAACUUGCCCCGAGAUGAGUUCUCCCUGACUCCUUGAGAGUCCUGAAGGAACGUUGAAGACGACGACGUUGAUAGGCCGGGUGUGUAAGCGCAGCGAUGCGUUGAGCUAACCGGUACUAAUGAACCGUGAGACUUAACCUU